Molecule: long non-coding RNA, 689 nt
Filed under: Corvus moneduloides (New Caledonian crow)
Lineage: Eukaryota; Metazoa; Chordata; Aves; Passeriformes; Corvidae
Description: lncRNA (ENSCMUG00000017413.1)
Source: RNAcentral
CGCGUGCCACAGGUCGCGGCUCUGAGGGGCUCAGGGAGCUCCCGGCACGGCAGCGGACACAUCCAGUGCAAUCUCCUGCGUGUAAUUCUAGAUGAAGGUUCAUUCAACCCCCCCAGUUUCUGUAGUUUUAAAAGCUGUUUUAACCUUUUCCCUACGCCCUUGACACGGUAGCGGGGAGCAGCGCCCCGUGUGCCAUUCCCUGUUGGUCGGUUGCCCCGAGGCCCCCCUGCGCCGCUGCUCGCGGCGAUCCGCUCGGGCCGGGGCACGGGGGACAGAUGCCGGCGGCAGGGAGCGGAACGGGCGGGUUCCGGGCCGGCGCGCGGGCCCCCAGGGGCUGAUGUGCCGCCGCAGCUGGGCCGCGCGAGAGGCCGGAUCGCUGGAUGGGGGCAAUAAGGAGCUGGGCGGUAAUUGCCUGUUUGACGUUUCCGAGAUGCGAAGCGCGGCUGAACGGCAAGCCUGGAGUGCCCUUCAGGAGGUCAUCCUCUGCUUCACAAACUCACAUCACCGCUGGAAUGAAAGCACUCGUGGCACUCGGAGAACAGCGGCCAAAUGUGUUUAACGUGCUGCCCCGUGAGGCGGGGAGGGAACAAGCUGGCCAAGAACGAGUACAAGCUCUUUUUCUAGAAAACCGUUCUUCAAAAGAGCAGAGUGCAGCGGCAUGCUUCAGCCUCCAAGAUUCAUACUGCUAG